AACACAUGCAAGUCGAGGGGCAGCAUAACGAAAGCUUGCUUUUGUUGAUGGCGACCGGCGCACGGGUGAGUAACGCGUAUCCAACCUUCCCUAUAGUAGAGAAUAGCCCGGCGAAAGUCGGAUUAAUGCUCUAUGUUGUAUUUAGAGGACAUCUGAAGAAUACCAAAGGUUUACCGCUAUAGGAUGGGGAUGCGUCUGGUUAGGUUGUUGGCGGGGUAACGGCCCACCAAGCCUACGAUCAGUAGGGGUUCUGAGAGGAAGGUCCCCCACAUUGGAACUGAGACACGGUCCAAACUCCUACGGGAGGCAGCAGUGAGGAAUAUUGGUCAAUGGACGGAAGUCUGAACCAGCCAAGUAGCGUGCAGGAUGACGGCCCUAUGGGUUGUAAACUGCUUUUAUAUAGGGAUAAAGUCGGGGACGUGUCCCCGUUUGUAGGUACUAUAUGAAUAAGGACCGGCUAAUUCCGUGCCAGCAGCCGCGGUAAUACGGAAGGUCCGGGCGUUAUCCGGAUUUAUUGGGUUUAAAGGGAGCGCAGGCUGAUGAUUAAGCGUGACGUGAAAUGUAGCCGCUCAACGGCUGAACUGCGUCGCGAACUGGUUAUCU
Molecule: ribosomal RNA, 603 nt
Filed under: uncultured rumen bacterium
Lineage: Bacteria
Description: bacterial SSU rRNA
Rfam family: Bacterial small subunit ribosomal RNA
Source: RNAcentral